This 78-nucleotide transfer RNA is filed under the name Desulfurococcaceae archaeon MEX13E-LK6-19. RNAcentral describes it as "tRNA-Arg". It matches the Rfam family "tRNA". Rfam says of the family: Transfer RNA (tRNA) molecules are approximately 80 nucleotides in length. Their secondary structure includes four short double-helical elements and three loops (D, anti-codon, and T loops). Further hydrogen bonds mediate the characteristic L-shaped molecular structure. tRNAs have two regions of fundamental functional importance: the anti-codon, which is responsible for specific mRNA codon recognition, and the 3' end, to which the tRNAs corresponding amino acid is attached (by aminoacyl-tRNA synthetases). tRNAs cope with the degeneracy of the genetic code in two manners: having more than one tRNA (with a specific anti-codon) for a particular amino acid; and 'wobble' base-pairing, i.e. permitting non-standard base-pairing at the 3rd anti-codon position. Lineage: Archaea; Thermoproteati; Thermoproteota; Thermoprotei; Desulfurococcales; Desulfurococcaceae. The record is from RNAcentral.
GGGCCCGUAGUUCAGCCAGGAUAGAACGCCCGGCUGCGGACCGGGUGGUCCCGGGUUCAAAUCCCGGCGGGCCCGCCA